ACUAUUUUGGCAGAUGAUAUGUACUAGAUUUAGGAUCUAGGUAAAUAGAAGUAUUUCUAUAAGUAGUU
This 68-nucleotide transfer RNA is filed under the name Segonzacia mesatlantica. Its description in RNAcentral is "tRNA-Leu". Lineage: Eukaryota; Metazoa; Arthropoda; Malacostraca; Decapoda; Bythograeidae. The record is from RNAcentral.